RNAcentral lists this unclassified non-coding RNA (183 nucleotides) under Glomeromycotina sp. RNAcentral describes it as "partial contains small subunit ribosomal RNA, internal transcribed spacer 1, and 5.8S ribosomal RNA". The stretch from base 1 to 47 matches the Rfam family "Eukaryotic small subunit ribosomal RNA", at positions 1785 to 1831 of the family's 1831-position model. The record is from RNAcentral. Lineage: Eukaryota; Fungi; Glomeromycota.
AAAGUCGUAACAAGGUUUCCGUAGGUGAACCUGCGGAAGGAUCAUUACUGAUUUGGCGGACCGAGCGUCAGCGAGGUUUCCGCGAUCGCUUGUAUUUAAAACCCACACUUUGAAUUAUGUAUAUUUUUGUAUUUUUUAAAUGAUAAAAUAAGAUCACUUUCAACAACGGAUCUCUUGGCUCUC